Molecule: ribosomal RNA, 467 nt
Filed under: uncultured bacterium
Lineage: Bacteria
Description: partial 16S ribosomal RNA
Rfam family: Bacterial small subunit ribosomal RNA
Source: RNAcentral
GAUGAAUGCUGGCGGCGUGCCUAACACAUGCAAGUCGAGCGGCAGCGCGAGUAGUUUACUACUUGGCGGCGAGCGGCGGACGGCUGAGUAACGCGUGGGAACGUGCCCCAAAGUGAGGAAUAACUGCUCGAAAGGGUGGCUAAUGCCGCAUAUGAUCUUCGGAUUAAAGUCUUCGGACGCUUUGGGAGCGGCCCGCGUCGGAUUAGGUUGUUGGUGAGGUAAUGGCUCACCAAGCCGACGAUCCGUAGCUGGUCUGAGAGGAUGAUCAGCCAGACUGGGACUGAGACACGGCCCAGACUCCUACGGGAGGCAGCAAUGAGGAAUAUUGGACAAUGGGGGAAACCCUGAUCCAGCUAUGCCGCGUGAGUGAUGAAGGCCUUCGGGUUGUAAAGCUCUUUAGUCGGGGACGAUAAUGACGGUACCCGAAGAAUAAGCUCCGGCAAACUUCGUGCCAGCAGCCGCCGUAA